UUUUUUUUUCUUUUUGCAAAAAUACAUUUAAUGUGUUUUUCAUUGUAGGGGUAAGGUCUGCAUAACCCCACUUAUGGGAUUAUACUGGGUUUGUUGUUAUUGUUGUUGUACAUUUAACGCGUUUUAAACAAUGUUAUUAAAAGUCUAUCUCUUCUUCGCUUAAAAGGAUGAGCAAGGUGAAGCGAGGGAUAAUCGCUUCAUGAGCCUCACACGCUUUAAACAAUAAUGCACAAAGUGAUCCAAACACAAAGUUGUUGGUUCUUUGAAUCUCAAAUUAAAGAGUUCGAUUAACAUCAGUAUUACUAUAUAUUGAUGACGAUAAAAUUAAUCUUGCAAUUGCAAUUUGAUCAUUGUAGUACUAAAUUCAUAUAUGUUUGGUAGCUUGUAAUUUUCUGUAAGUUGUGCGCUUCAUUUCUUGCCUUUCGCUUCAAACCCUGCACCUUGUUGCUUCUUUGCGCUUUUCUUUUAAAAAUAUUUGCUUUUAAUCUUAAAGCCCUGGCUUGCUAUAAUUCAUUCACCAUUCACGGGAAAAAGGCGAUACUCAACCAUUAGAAUACAACUCUUCAUUCUUCACCAUGAUAAAUUCAAGACCACUUUUUCUUAUGCACUAAUUAUAAUAGAAGGAACAAGCAUAUACUAAUCAAUAAGCUUCUUAAGUGGAACAAAUCCAUCAGCUCUAGAAUCAGCUCAGAGAAGGUAACUACUUCCAACAGAUUUGCAACAUCAAGUCCCAAACUACAAAAACUAGCACAAGUUAGGUGUAGAUAGCAACCCUGCCAUACUCAAUGAGCGUGUUUAACUUUUGAAAGGUUAUUUUCAAUUUUUUCUUCUGGAAAGCUGUGUCUUAAUAACUGAAAUCAUUCUCUUUUCAGAAUAUUGGAAAACCUGAAAAUUUUAAAACAGAAGUUAAGAAGAUAACCAUUUUGAGCCACAGUGCUGUAGAGGGACCAAUUCAUCUGAGCAGUUGUUCAACAAAGUAGUGGUACUUGGGAGAUAAUCAGAUAAUUCUAGUUUUACACAUCUAGGAGAGGCCAAAGAAAGAUGCUCUAGCGUGUUGGGGCUUCAUAGGUAGCAGUGAUCCUGACCCUAUUCGAGAUUAAUGUAGGAUCUUAUUUCAAAUGUUCACAGCAAGGAGUGGUGUAGGGAAAAAUAAAUAGGACAUGAUUUACAUAAAACAAUUGCAUGGAUGAAAAGAAACUUGAUAAAUCUAAUGAACUUAGAACAAAUGCAAUGUAUGCCUACAUUUGCUUGUCAAGUACAUAUGUAUGUCCUAAGCAAAGAAAUUAUGCAGAAAAUGGACUAAAUGUAUCUCAUGCGUGAUGGAGUCGGGAAUAUUACUCUCGCGGUCUCACCUCAUAGGUUCACCACGUCGAGAUGAUGGAGCAUGACAUGAGAAGAAGAAAAUGUUCCAUUUGAGGUGGUUCCAUUCCAAGACAUAAUGAAAAUUAUCUGCAGCUCUGAAAAGAAGCAGCGACUCAGAUGAGAACAUAUUCCCAGUUCAGCAUUUUUCACCAAACAACGAGCAAAAGGGAAGAGGAUCCAACAAAAAUUUACUUAACUGAGAUAAAUAAAAUAAGUUCUGCUAAAAUUGGUUUGAAUGUGUCCACUUAAUCUGCAUAGUUUAGAGAAGCACUUUUGCAGAUACUACUAAUAGAAUGAUUCGUCUCGGAAAUUUGAGCAAUGACUAACAAGCAAAAGGGAAGAGGACCCAACAAAAAUUUACUAAACUGAGAUAAAUAAAAUAAGUUCUGCUAAAUUUGGUUUGAAUGUGUCCACUUAAUCUGCAUAGUUUAGAGAAGCACUUUUGCAGAUAGUACUAAUAGAAUGAUUUGUCUCGGAAAUUUGAGCAAUGACAGGUCUACAGAAAAAUAACCAAGUCAUUUGAUACAAGAGAAUAGAGCUGAGGUAACAAGCUAGCUGAUCAUUUGGCAGACUUAGUCUUCAAUGCGGAUGGGGAACUAAUAAUCAAUUCAUUUGUGGAGCUGGACACCAAAGGAAGGGCAUUUUGAAUUUGGAUAAGCUACAGUGGCCAUCGUUGAGAACCAAGGCAGUGAAGGGAAGAAAACAAUGACAUUCUAUAACGUGAAGACUGAAGAGUUUCAUUAGCAUAUGGUGGCGCAUGAUGGGGCAAUGGUUCUAUUCUGUGGAAUCGGAUACUUCAAGGUGGAAAGCAGCUUGCACAAAAUGAAAUCGUUGGCAGUGUGGACACUUCAUUUCUUUCGAGCAUUUUAUUAUUUUGUUCGAUGUGAGUUCAUCUUAGAAUAUUAAAUACAUGCAAAGAUGACAUUAGAUAGUUUCAUUAUUUCAUUAGACAUGGUUUGUUUUCAUUGUAAUAGUGUACACUCGUCCUGCACUCAAGUUGGAAUCUUUAUAAUUACUCAAAUUAGCCACUAGGUAACCUCCCUAGUGGUAGAUUAGCUUUAAAAAAGAGAGUCAAGGCUGAGGAAGUCUGUAAACUAUAGUUUAUUGUGUAUUAAGCUAAUAAAAGCAGUUCUCUCUCUAUCUAUCUCAUCGUAUUCGUUUGGUGAUUAAGCUUAGAAAAGGUAAAACAUAUGGCAAAAAAUUUGGGGCGGUUUAAAAUGGGUGAAGUAGAAGAAUCGGUCAUAACCUUAUCUUCCCGUAAGCAUAUUCAUUUAGUCUUUCCUGGACAACGGGAUCACCUUUGAAUUACAAUGUUAAUAGCUAAAAUUAGGAAGCUUUUUUCUUUUAGAGCAAUGCAAUGCAAUACAGUGAUACCAAACUCUCAAUAAAGAAAACAGAGAUCCCUUACUCCAGCAAUAGUAGUAUAGUGCAAUCCGUGUAACAGCGGAUACAGAAAUUCUUUUGAAUAUAUUUAAAAUCCAACUUAGCAGAAGCUUUAUACCAUUAAUCAAUAAACCAACAAGAAUGAGCUAUAAAAUUGCUUACCGUAUCAAAUAUCAAUUCGGCAGAAUUGGAUUGCAUAACUACUACAAUCUAACAUAUCAAAAUAAAUUGAGAAAAUAAAUGAAAUAAGUAC
This 2998-nucleotide long non-coding RNA is filed under the name Nicotiana benthamiana. RNAcentral's name for it is "long non-coding RNA (NBEN_LNC003871)". Lineage: Eukaryota; Viridiplantae; Streptophyta; Magnoliopsida; Solanales; Solanaceae. The record is from RNAcentral.